Molecule: long non-coding RNA, 283 nt
Filed under: Panax ginseng (ginseng)
Lineage: Eukaryota; Viridiplantae; Streptophyta; Magnoliopsida; Apiales; Araliaceae
Description: long non-coding RNA (PGIN_LNC004624)
Source: RNAcentral
GUCGUAUAACCCUGAUUGAACCCAUACGCAAAUAAGUCGCACAUGAAAUCACUCCUUUCCUUCCACACUUCAUUCACACACUUCUUACAAGGAUAUCUGAUCUCAUCGCCACUGACUUGCUCAAACGCGAAAUUGAGAAACUGUUCAACCCCACUACGGUACUCAGAGUUAAGCUCACUCUUAUCAGUGGCUACCCUACGUUCCAUCCAACUUCGAUCAACAGACAUCUUGGACAACUGUCUGCUAUAUAUAUAGAAAGUUAGACAAACACAAUCAAGUCUCC